This 574-nucleotide long non-coding RNA is filed under the name Homo sapiens (human). RNAcentral's name for it is "non-protein coding lnc-SLC35B1-2:2". Lineage: Eukaryota; Metazoa; Chordata; Mammalia; Primates; Hominidae. The record is from RNAcentral.
GUGCUGACGCCAUGACGCCCCGGCUGGUGUGUGUCGGUGUGUAUGUGUGUGUGUGAGUGUGCGCGCUCCGAGUGUGUGUGUAUUUGUGUAUCGGCGGUCCCGCAGGUCCCGGAUGUUGCGGACAGUAUGAGGCAAGCGCAGGGGGACGGGGACCAGCAGCUGUCGCCGCCGCUCUCAGAUCGAGUCUUGCUCUGUCACCCAGGCUGGAGUGCAGUGGCGCGAUCUCAGCUCACUGCCACCUUUGCCUCCUGGGUUCAAGCGAUUCUUCUGCCUCAGCCUCCCGAGUAGCUGGGAUUACAGGCUCUGGGAACCACCCUUCUACUUUCUGUCUCUAGGAAUUUCACUACUCUAGGGUGAAGAGGGAACAGAAAUCUUUGCCCCCUGACUUUGGAAAUCUCGUUUAACCUUCAAACUGGCGAUGUCAAGGGUUCCAAGUCCUCCACCUCCGGCAGAAAUGUCGAGUGGCCCCGUAGCUGAGAGUUGGUGCUACACACAGUGUUCUCAGCAGCUGAAAAAAGUUAUAAAAGCUAUUGGUCAGUGUGAGAUUUCUUAAAAUGUGGAUGAGGAACAUAAG